AUUGAACGCUGGCGGCAUGCCUUACACAUGCAAGUCGAACGGUAACAGGUCUUCGGAUGCUGACGAGUGGCGAACGGGUGAGUAAUACAUCGGAACGUGCCUAGUAGUGGGGGAUAACUACUCGAAAGGGUGGCUAAUACCGCAUGAGAUCUACGGAUGAAAGCAGGGGAUCGCAAGACCUUGUGCUACUAGAGCGGCCGAUGGCAGAUUAGGUAGUUGGUGGGAUAAAAGCUUACCAAGCCGACGAUCUGUAGCUGGUCUGAGAGGACGAUCGGCCAAACUGGGACGGAGACACGGCCCAGACUCCUACGGGAGGCAGCAGUGGGGAAUUUUGGACAAUGGGCGCAAGCCUGAUCCAGCAAUGCCGCGUGCAGGAUGAAGGCCUUCGGGUUGUAAACUGCUUUUGUACGGAACGAAAAGCCCUGGGUUAAUACCCUGGGGUCAUGACGGUACCGUAAGAAUAAGCACCGGCUAACUACGUGCCAGCAGCCGCCGUAA
Molecule: ribosomal RNA, 498 nt
Filed under: uncultured bacterium
Lineage: Bacteria
Description: partial 16S ribosomal RNA
Rfam family: Bacterial small subunit ribosomal RNA
Source: RNAcentral